AUACGGAGGGUCCAAGCGUUAUCCGGAAUCAUUGGGUUUAAAGGGUCCGCAGGCGGUCAAUUAAGUCAGAGGUGAAAGCCCAUCGCUCAACGAUGGAACUGCCUUUGAUACUGGUUGACUUGAGUUAUACGGAAGUAGAUAGAAUAAGUAGUGUAGCGGUGAAAUGAAUAGAUAUUACUUAGAAUACCGAUUGCGAAGGCAGUCUACUACGUAUAUACUGACGCUGAGGGACGAAAGCGUGGGGAGCGAACAGGAUUAGAUACCCUAGUAGUCC
This 274-nucleotide ribosomal RNA is filed under the name uncultured bacterium. RNAcentral describes it as "partial 16S ribosomal RNA". It matches the Rfam family "Bacterial small subunit ribosomal RNA", at positions 523 to 796 of the family's 1533-position model. The record is from RNAcentral.